CAGCCGCCGCGGUAAUACGGAGGGGGCUAGCGUUGUUCGGAAUUACUGGGCGUAAAGCGUACGUAGGCGGCUUUGUAAGUUAGAGGUGAAAGCCCAGAGCUCAACUCUGGAAUUGCCUUUAAGACUGCAUCGCUUGAAUCGUGGAGAGGUUAGUGGAAUUCCGAGUGUAGAGGUGAAAUUCGUAGAUAUUCGGAAGAACACCAGUGGCGAAGGCGACUAACUGGACACGUAUUGACGCUGAGGUACGAAAGCGUGGGGAGCAAACAGG
This 268-nucleotide ribosomal RNA is filed under the name uncultured prokaryote. RNAcentral describes it as "partial 16S ribosomal RNA". It matches the Rfam family "Bacterial small subunit ribosomal RNA", at positions 509 to 776 of the family's 1533-position model. The record is from RNAcentral.